AUUGAACGCUGGCGGCAGGCCUAACACAUGCAAGUCGAGCGGAUGAAGGGAGCUUGCUCCUGGAUUCAGCGGCGGACGGGUGAGUAAUGCCUAGGAAUCUGCCUGGUAGUGAGGGAUAACGUCCGGAAACGGGCGCUAAUACCGCAUAUGUCCUGAGGGAGAAAGUGGGGGAUCUUCGGACCUCACGCUAUCAGAUGAGCCUAGGUCGGAUUAGCUAGUUGGUGGGGUAAAGGCCUACCAAGGCGACGAUCCGUAACUGGUCUGAGAGGAUGAUCAGUCACACUGGAACUGAGACACGGUCCAGACUCCUACGGGAGGCAGCAGUGGGGAAUAUUGGACAAUGGGCGAAAGCCUGAUCCAGCCAUGCCGCGUGUGUGAAGAAGGUCUUCGGAUUGUAAAGCACUUUAAGUUGGGAGGAAGGGCAGUAAGUUAAUACCUUGCUGUUUUGACGUUACCAACAGAAUAAGCACCGGCUAACUUCGUG
This 484-nucleotide ribosomal RNA is filed under the name uncultured bacterium. RNAcentral's name for it is "partial 16S ribosomal RNA". It matches the Rfam family "Bacterial small subunit ribosomal RNA", at positions 30 to 507 of the family's 1533-position model. The record is from RNAcentral.